GAUAUGGUCAAUGGCCUAACGGCUGAACCAGCAACUUGGAGGAAUGUAUAAAGAAAUUUACUCAUAUUAGUAAUUGGUAUGAGAUUAACUAAGUUAAUUAAAAUUCUAAAUAAAUACUGAUUAUGACAGUAUUUACAAAUGUCUUGACCAAAACACGUGCCAGCAGUCGCGGUAAGACGUGAAAGAUAAGUGUUAUUCAUGUUUAACAGGUUUAAAGGGUACCUAGACAGUUAAUUAAACACUCCUAUGUAUUAAUUGACUAGAGUUUGAUGUGAGAAGGGUUGAGUACGGUAGUGGAGAGAUAGAAUUUUAUGAUACUGCUAUGGAACUGGUAAAGGCGAAGGCAACCUUCUAUGUAAAAACUGACGUUAAGGGACGAAGGCUCGUGUAAAAAAACAGGAUUAGAUACCCUGGUAUUUUGGGCAGACAAUGAUGAGUGUCAUAUGUAAGAAAAAUUUUUGUGUAUAAACGAAAGUGUAAGCACUCCACCUCAAGAGUAACAUGGCAACAUGGGAACUGAAAUCAUUAGACCGUUUCUGAAACUCGUAGUGAAGUAUGUCGUUUAAUUUGAUAAUCCACAAAUAACCUUACCACAACUUGAAUUGCUUUAGUUUACUAAUGUAACAAGCGUUGCACGGCUGUCUCCAGUCAAUGUUGUGAAACCGUGGUUUGAUCCAUUGAAUUGACGUAAACCCUUACUUUAUUUAUUAUAAAGUAGAUCGCCGAUAUAUUGGUAUUGAUAUAUGGGACUAAGACAAGUCAUCAUGACCUGAACGUUGUGGGCUACAAACGUGCUGCAGAGACCUUAACAAAAAGAUGCAAAAUUGUGAAAUUUAGCUAAUCUAGAAAAAGGAGAUUGGAUUGUAGUCUG
Molecule: ribosomal RNA, 871 nt
Filed under: Thelotrema monosporum
Lineage: Eukaryota; Fungi; Ascomycota; Lecanoromycetes; Ostropales; Graphidaceae
Description: SSU rRNA
Rfam family: Bacterial small subunit ribosomal RNA
Source: RNAcentral